UCGGAAGCUAAGCAGGGCCGGGCCUGGUUAGUACUUGGAUGGGAGACCGCCUGGGAAUACCAGGUGCUGUAAGCUU
Molecule: ribosomal RNA, 76 nt
Filed under: Engystomops petersi (Peters' dwarf frog)
Lineage: Eukaryota; Metazoa; Chordata; Amphibia; Anura; Leptodactylidae
Source: RNAcentral